This 38-nucleotide ribosomal RNA is filed under the name Rhizoplaca chrysoleuca. RNAcentral describes it as "partial 26S ribosomal RNA". Lineage: Eukaryota; Fungi; Ascomycota; Lecanoromycetes; Lecanorales; Lecanoraceae. The record is from RNAcentral.
UUGACCUCGGAUCAGGUAGGGAUACCCGCUGAAUAAGC